This is a long non-coding RNA of Thalassophryne amazonica, 101 nucleotides long. RefSeq lists it as uncharacterized. Lineage: Eukaryota; Metazoa; Chordata; Actinopteri; Batrachoidiformes; Batrachoididae. The transcript is spliced from 3 exons. The record is from RefSeq and is a predicted model, not a curated record.
GCUGGAACACCAGCGUCACUGUCCACAGUGAAGCAAGUUUUACAUCGCCAUGGACUGAGAGGGGGCUGACCAAGAAAGAAGCCCCUAGCAGCGGCUUUUGA